CAGAGAGGGUGGCUGCGGGUGGGCAAUGGCACCAUCGGCUAAAAAAGGUCAUGUGGCAGGAAGCAUGUCGGUAUGUGACAGUUUCCUGGGCCAUGUAUUGUAACUGCCACGUUAUGCUUCUAUAGUUGCAACCCUAGGAACCGUGGGAAACACCAGCUGCAAGCCUUGGGGACGCUUCAAGAGUGUGUAGUGGGCUGGAGAGAUGGCUCAGCAGUUAAAAGCAUUUGCUGCUCUUGCAGAGGAUCCCAGCGCCCAUGUCUAGAAGUCUACGACUGCCUGUAACUCCAGCUCCUGAGGGUCCCGUGCUCCAUGGACACCAGCCCUCACGGACACACAUUCACACAGUUGAGGCUCCGUCUGUCGCUAUGCGCUGUAAUGCUCAAUACUGGCCCUCGAGGCCUGGUUGCUCCCAGGAAGGAGAAAAUCUGCCCUUACACAAGUGAUGCUGUGUAACCUCACCCCUCCCCCCAAGUUAUCCCUGAUUGGUGAAUAAAGAUGCCGACAGCCAUUAGCUGGGCAGAGGAGAGACAGGCAAGGUUUGGGUUCCUGGGCUUGAGAUCAGAGGAGAAGCCAUGAGGAGAGAGAGAGAGAAGGUGGAGAGAGGAAAAGAUGCCACAGGGUGGGUGAGUCAUAAAACCAGGGCCAUGAGGGCUGGCCAAUUGGAGUUAAGAGCUGACCAGAUGAAACGUGACAAGUUAUAACUUGGAGUUGUUGAUGGGGACGUAGAUUCUAAUAUCACGGAGGGUAGACAUCUGCCAGCUCUAGUGCAUUAUAGGCUUACUAUAAAUAUAAAGAUUGUGUGGUUUUUAAUCAGCGAGCUGAAUGAUCAAAGAUAGAGUAGAAACCUCCCAUUAAUAUUAAAAUGUUUUCUACAACGCACAUACCCUUGAUUAUUACAAAAUAAAGUAAACCUACUAGCCAGAUGUGGCGGCGCGCACCUUCAAUCCCAGCGCCCAGGAGCAGAGGCCGCAGAUCUCUAUUCAUCUGAGGUCAUCUUGCGCUACACAGUGCGUUCCAGCGAGCAUUGAGGCGCAUACGUGUGAUCCCGGUACUAAAGGGGGGGAGGGGUAGGAUCAUGAGUUCACAGAUCUGAAAAGAAGACGUGAACUGAGGAAGCAUGGACCAGGAACUGAACUGCGUGAGGGGAAUUCUGAGUGCUUGUGAGAGAAUGCCUGGAAAACAAGACAAGAGUUGUGACCUCGGUUUCUUCAAAACCUCGAUCUGUUCUUGGAGCGGUUCUCAGUGUCGCCCCUAGGUGUACUAGAUGAGAGUGGGUUUACUUCAGAUUAUUCAUUAAGACUAGCUAUCGUUAUUUGUUUAUAUGCUUCUAUGAAAAUACACGUUUUGGGGGGGAGGGGGGGUUGGGGAUUUAGCUCAGCGGUAGAGCGCUUGCCUAGCAAGCGCAAGGCCCUGGGUUUGGUCCCCAGCUCCGAAAAAAAGAAAAGGAAAAAAAAGAAAGAAAGAAAGAAAGAAAGAGAGAGAGAGAGAGAGAAAAAGAAAGAAAGAAAGAAAGAAAGAAAGAAAGAAAGAAAGAAAGAAAGAAGGAAAGAAAAUACACGUUUUGCCGUGUGCAGCGUGUCCUUUAGAUUGUACGUUUACUCAUGUGGUUCUCCUUAAACCUCAGAGGAUAAACCGUUCGAUGCUCUGAAUAAAGUUGGCUAUUGCAUGAGACUUUAGUCCGCCUCACUUUUAGGCUCCGUUCUCCCAGGUUCAGCCACCUUCAGAGUAGUAAACAGAGCACCUGACGGAGUAGGCAGGAGAAGAUAUGCCCAGACUCAACCAACUGGCAAACAGAUAGAAAGGAUUCAAACCUGCUCACACACUUGGCUCCGGCUCUGUCAACACCGCGAAACCUUUAGAACAGUUUGCCCCGUCAGAGUCCACAAGAGCUGUGCUGACAGCGUGGCCUUAAGGAGAACUGAACUUACGCCAGGCAGACGGAAGCAUUUCCCAAACACCCACGCUGCCGGUCUCAUCAGAAGCCUGAGGCCACCCUCAGCUGCUGCCGCAUGCUCUCCUGAACUGUGGUAACAGGACGGCAGAGGGACCACUGCAAUGUGCUGGCUGGGGGGUUGCAUUGCAACCUGUCCCGAGACCUGCCAGCGCCAGUGAGACCUCUCUCUGACCCUCCUCCCACCUCAUUUUCUGUAGGACCUCGGGUCUCUUUCUAGGAAUAGAUUCCAUCUAUCUCAGAUUCUCUAGGCUAACCAAGAUGGCGUCCCCGGGUUCCAGUAUCUGGGGGAACAGAGAAGGAAGCAGGAGCAUUGCUGAGGGAAACACGGAGGUUUGUACCCCAUGUGUCUCCCAGAUAGAGACAGUUUUGGGGGACCUUGCUGCUUCAGAGCUUGUCUGCUGUCCUCCCACCCCCUCAUCUAGCAUGAUAACAGCCAACCAGCUUAGAUCUGGUGAUCAGAAAUUUACCACCGAACGAACGAACCAUAGCCAUCCUCAGGUUGGCCGUUCAAAGAUACACUGCCAAAACAGCUGUGUGCAAGAACGGUGGCCCUCUCCCCGAACCUAACUGCCUUUUAAACAUGAACUUUCAAUAGUUCCAAUCAAGCAUCAGGUGACAUGCGGACACAUUGUAAGAGGCAUGGGGGUCAGUCUGAUGACCCUGGCAAUCAUCCCAUGUGACCUUCUGAUGCAAUACAGCAGUAAUGGCCAGCAGGCUGUGUGAGGCUGUGCGGGAGAAGCUGGAUGCGCUGUUUACAGUUUAUCUUUUAGAGUUACUUAUUUUAUAUGUGUGUGUGGGCCCAAGGGCACGUAUGUGUGCCGCAUGCAUGCAGAUGCUCCUGGAUGCCAGUGAGGGCGCUGGACCCCCUGUAAAUGCAGUUACAGGUGGCUGUGAGCCACCCAAGGCGGGUUUUGGGAAACAGAAUUCUACAAGAGCAGCAAGUACUCUUAACCGCUGAGCCAUCUCCCCAGGCCAUUAAUAUUAUUUUUAAUGACGAGAGACAGCCUGUAAAUUAAUAGUUGUAAGCUUAACUUAGAACAUAUACCUAACAUGAGAAAAGACUUGGGGCCCAUUCCUAAAACCAAAAUGGUGGUGAUGAUGAUGAUGAUGAUGAUGAUGGUGGUGGUGAUGGUGGUGGUGGUGGUGGUGAUGAUGAUGAUGAUGAUGAUUAUAAUAGGACUGAAACGACGGCUCAAUGACUAAAAGCACCUCACUGCCUUUGCAGAAGAUGAGAACAGUUCUCAUCACCCACAUCAGAUGGCUCACAACAACCUGCUAAGUCCCAAGCUGAAGGGUCCAGCGCCCUCUUAUGGCCUCCAUUGAUACUGCACUCACAUGCACAUACCUGUACACAUAUUCACAAAAUUAAAAAAAAAAAUAAAAUAAAUACUUUUUUAGAAAACAUGUUAGCCAGGCAGUGGUAGUGCGUGUAUUUAAUCCAGCACUCUGGAUGCAGAGGCUGGUGGAUCUCUGAGUUUAAGGCGGGCCUAGUCUACAGAGUGAGUUCCUGGACACCCAGGGCUAAACAGAGAAACCCUGUCUUGAAAAAUCCAUCCAUCCAUCCCUAAAAUGUAACAAGUGCAUGCGACAGUUGCCAUUGUGUGGAAUAACCAUCACGGAGUGUUACUUACUGUACGGAUUGUGCUAUAAACUUGUUUGGUUUGGUGUGGGUUUGGGUGUGAGACAAUCUCACUCUGUAGUCACCGCAGGACUGGAACUCAGAGAGAUCGACCUGCCUUUACCUCCAAAAGGACUCGGCAGGAGGAUUGAGAGCAUGCGCCACCAUGCCCAGGCACUCAACUGUAAUCUUGCGUAUAUGGCUGCUCUUCAACUGAAGGAUGGUUAAACAGCAAGAAUGGACUACACUUCUAAUCUUUACACACGGCCAGUUAAAUAUCAUAGCAUACACAAAACUUAAAGAUUAAAGAGGAAAUCUUCCCAGCAGAAAUAAUCAGAGGAGCAGGGUAAUUAAAUCAGGUGGAGAAUGUGUUUGGGAAGUAUUGAAAAAUAAGAGACUAUCAGGAGAGGAGGGUGGUGAUGGCGAUAAUAACCUGUUGCUCCUGUCAGCUAGCACCGUCUGUUAGCCCAAAAGCAAGCCUGUGAGGUUGGACAACUGAGCUCAUCUUUCCUGCUGGGACGCUGGUGGCCGGAAGUUGGCACCUCGCUCUGAGUGCUUUCCUUGCGGCUUUCUGACUCGGCUCAUGAUGUUUUGGGUGGCGCUGUUUCCUGGGUCCGAGGGCAAGAUGAGCGGGUUCAGAAGGGAGUGGAUUUGUUCAGCUGUUUGAAGUGCCCACGAGCUGAUCAGUGUAAGCGACUGCAAGCAGUCUGGUUCCAGGAAAUUUUUGGGAAAAUGUCCUCUUCCUAGGAGCCAGAGCUGAAGAUAUUUGUAUCUGAACACCUUGAUCAGGAAGAGCAAGCCCAGAGGGGCGUUAGUGAGGUGAAAGCUGUGUGGAGGAGACUCUUGCGGCGUGAGGGGGUUGGGCUGUACAGCAGGGGCGUGGUCUUCAACUUCCUGGGGUGGGGUGGGGGUUGGGGGAGAAGUCCAGAUGAAGGGACAACCCACGGAACAAUGAACAGUGACAAAAUCAUGAACAAGGAACUGCCACUACACGGAAGAGAUCAAAACAAGUAGUUAAAUGCUUGUAGGGUUCCCAGAUCAGUCCUGGAAUGAAGAGUUGGGAGAGACGUCAGGACUCGGGUGCUCUCACUCUCCAAGAGCAGAGGCUGCCUAGACAACUGGUGUGAGGAGAGCCACGGUUCCAUGUCCAGUACCACAAAGGAGAGAGAUGGGAUGGAAGAGCAGCUCUGGAGAGAUGGCUCAGCAGUUAAGAGCACUGGUUGCUCUUCUAGGGGACCAGGGUUCAAUUCCCAGCACCCACGCAACAGCUCUCUGUAACUCCAGUUCCAAUGCAUCCGACACUCUCAUACAGACAUGCAGAUAUGACCAAAACACAAGCUGUAAAGUAAAUGUACUUAGUAAUAAAAAAAAUCUUUAAAAAAUGAAUUUUAAAAAGAGAGAGAGGGAAGGGUUAGUGGGAAGUUGAUGGAGUUCAAAUAACAGUAAUUUGCCACGCCCCCCAACUCCCAUCUGACUGGCAAUUUCCCUGGUCCCUUGGGAUUGGUGAACCCACCAAGUUUCUGCACCCAAAUAAACCUGACUUCUUACUCUCAAUUCCGCUUGAAUUGACUUAUUUUGUCAGCAGAGAAAAACCUAUUACAAAUACUAUUUUCAAGUGAAAAAUUAAGGCAGGUAUGUGGCGUUCUUGAGAAAAAGGUAGUAGGAUGGUGAGUUCUGGGCCAGCCUGGGCUACAGAUUGACCCCAUCUCAAAAUUUUGAAAGGGCUAGACAUAUACCUCCACAGUAGACUGGUGGUCUUGACUGUGCCAGAGACUUUUAUAAACGCAGCCAGCAUACCCGAGUGAGUCGUCUUGGGGCUGGAGAGAUGGCUCAGUGGUUAGGAGCACUGGCCGCUCUUGCGGACAACCUGGGUUCAGUUCCCAGCGUCCACAUGGCAGCAUACAGCUGUCAAUAACUCCGAUUACAGGGGAUCUGAUGCCAUCUUCUGGCUUCCAAGGCCCACCAGAUACCUACACAUGCAGGUAGAACACCCAAACACAUAAAUAAAAGGAAUAAAUCUUAAAAAAAGAAAAAAAAAAUCCAAGGGCUGGAGAGAUGACUCAGAAAGGAGAGACCUGAAUUUAAUCCCUAGAAAGGACUUCACAAAGUUGCCCUCUGACCACCUGUGCCAGGCAUGAUAUGUGUGUCCCCUCCACCCACGCACACACCUAUACAUAAGUAAGUGGAGUUUUUUUGUUUUGUUUUGUUUUUUUGGAGCUGGGGACUGAACC
Non-coding RNA from Rattus norvegicus (Norway rat), 5803 nucleotides. The record is from RefSeq and is a predicted model, not a curated record. NCBI's taxonomy places the organism in Eukaryota, Metazoa, Chordata, Mammalia, Rodentia, Muridae.